Molecule: ribosomal RNA, 389 nt
Filed under: uncultured bacterium
Lineage: Bacteria
Description: bacterial SSU rRNA
Rfam family: Bacterial small subunit ribosomal RNA
Source: RNAcentral
GACGAACGCUGGCGGCGUGCUUAACACAUGCAAGUCGAGCGGUAAGGCCCCUUCGGGGGUACGACGAGCGGCGAACGGGUGAGUAACACGUGGGUGACCUGCCCUCAGCUCUGGGAUAAGCCUGGGAAACUGGGUCUAAUACCGGAUAUGACUCCAUGACGCAUGUCGUGGGGUGGAAAGCCUUGUGCGGCUGGGGAUGGGCCCGCGGCCUAUCAGCUUGUUGGUGGGGUGAUGGCCUACCAAGGCGACGACGGGUAGCCGGCCUGAGAGGGCGACCGGCCACACUGGGACUGAGACACGGCCCAGACUCCUACGGGAGGCAGCAGUGGGGAAUCUUGCGCAAUGGGCGAAAGCCUGACGCAGCGACGCCGCGUGAGGGAUGACGGCCU